UACGGAGGGGGCUAGCGUUGUUCGGAAUUACUGGGCGUAAAGCGCGCGUAGGCGGAUCUGCAAGUCGGGGGUGAAAUCCCGAGGCUCAACCUCGGAACUGCCUUCGAUACUGCGGGUCUCGAGUCCGGGAGAGGUGAGUGGAAUUCCUAGUGUAGAGGUGAAAUUCGUAGAUAUUAGGAAGAACACCAGUGGCGAAGGCGGCUCACUGGCCCGGUACUGACGCUGAGGCGCGAAAGCGUGGGGAGCGAACGGG
Molecule: ribosomal RNA, 253 nt
Filed under: uncultured bacterium
Lineage: Bacteria
Description: partial 16S ribosomal RNA
Rfam family: Bacterial small subunit ribosomal RNA
Source: RNAcentral